This is a long non-coding RNA of Talpa occidentalis (Iberian mole), 373 nucleotides long. RefSeq lists it as uncharacterized. The record is from RefSeq and is a predicted model, not a curated record. The transcript has 3 exons. Lineage: Eukaryota; Metazoa; Chordata; Mammalia; Eulipotyphla; Talpidae.
UUCCUCACAGACUUUUGAAAGAUAAAUGAGAAAACGCCCAUGAAGAGGGAUGCACCGCCAAAUUGCUCACUGAUGUGUCCACCCUUCCCCUGCCUGACGACCCCUAAGCUACCUGGAUAGAACAAAAACGCAGAAGAAAGGUGACUUCAUUCUCUCCCCGCCCCCGAGCUAAGACCUUCAUCUUCUCUUGGCCCUCCAGAUUCACACAGGAUUUAUACCUUUGGACUCAGACUGAAUUACACCAUCAGAUUUCCUGAUUCUCCAGUCUUUUCAACCUCCAUAAGUCCUUUCUCAACACAGAAGCCACUGAUUUUGUGGGAUUACACUGAGAAGUGGAAGCUGUGACUGAGAAGUGGGGUCAUCAUGCUCUUGA